Ribosomal RNA from Sinocyclocheilus grahami, 117 nucleotides. Lineage: Eukaryota; Metazoa; Chordata; Actinopteri; Cypriniformes; Cyprinidae. The record is from Ensembl.
AGCCACAGCCAUAUCACCCUGCAGCCCAAGACUGGUUGCCCACUGAAGCUAAGCAGGGUUGAGCCUGGUCAGUACCUGGAUGGGAGACCUCCUGGGAAAAUUAGGUUGUUGUUGGUA